This 73-nucleotide transfer RNA is filed under the name Longispora fulva. RNAcentral describes it as "tRNA-Met". The record is from RNAcentral. Lineage: Bacteria; Bacillati; Actinomycetota; Actinomycetes; Micromonosporales; Micromonosporaceae.
CGCGGGGGAGCGUUGGGACUCAGCCGGUCCUCAUGAGGCUGGAGCGCCCGGAUCAUCACCGGGAUCCGCGACC